GCCAGGUGUGGUGGCGCACACCUGUAAUCCCACCAACUCGGAAGGCUGAGACAGGAGGAUCACUAGUUUAAAGCCAUCCCCAGCAAUUUAUGGAGACCCUAAGCAACUUGAGACCCUGUCUCAA
Molecule: small RNA, 124 nt
Filed under: Marmota monax (woodchuck)
Lineage: Eukaryota; Metazoa; Chordata; Mammalia; Rodentia; Sciuridae
Source: RNAcentral